UCGAGAAUCUUCGGCAAUGGACGCAAGUCUGACCGAGCGAUGCCGCGUGCGGGAUGAAGGCCCUCGGGUUGUAAACCGCUGUCAGUUGGGAGGAAAUCUCCGGGGGUUCUCCCUCGGAGUUGACCGAUCUUCAGAGGAAGGACGGGCUAAGUUCGUGCCAGCAGCCGCGGUAACACGAACCGUCCAAACGUUAUUCGGUAUCACUGGGCUUAAAGCGUGCGUAGGCGGCCUGGAAGGUGAGAUGUGAAAUCCCACGGCUCAACCGUGGAACUGCGUUUCAAACCACCAGGCUUGAGGAAGACAGGGGUGAUGGGAACUUAUGGUGGAGCGGUGAAAUGCGUUGAUAUCAUAGGGAACACCGGUGGCGAAAGCGCAUCACUGGGUCUUUUCUGACGCUGAGGCACGAAAGCUAGGGUAGCGAACG
RNAcentral lists this ribosomal RNA (424 nucleotides) under uncultured bacterium. RNAcentral describes it as "bacterial SSU rRNA". It matches the Rfam family "Bacterial small subunit ribosomal RNA", at positions 355 to 774 of the family's 1533-position model. The record is from RNAcentral.